GAUGAACGCUGGCGGCGUGCCUAAUACAUGCAAGUCGAGCGAACAGACGAGGAGCUUGCUCCUCUGACGUUAGCGGCGGACGGGUGAGUAACACGUGGAUAACCUACCUAUAAGACUGGGAUAACUUCGGGAAACCGGAGCUAAUACCGGAUAAUAUAUUGAACCGCAUGGUUCAAUAGUGAAAGACGGUUUUGCUGUCACUUAUAGAUGGAUCCGCGCCGCAUUAGCUAGUUGGUAAGGUAACGGCUUACCAAGGCAACGAUGCGUAGCCGACCUGAGAGGGUGAUCGGCCACACUGGAACUGAGACACGGUCCAGACUCCUACGGGAGGCAGCAGUAGGGAAUCUUCCGCAAUGGGCGAAAGCUUGACGGAGCAACGCCGCGUGAGUGAUGAAGGUCUUCGGAUCGUAAAACUCUGUUAUUAGGGAAGAACAAAUGUGUAAGUAACGAUGCACGUCUUGACGGUACCUAAGCAGAAAGCCACGGCUAACUACGU
Molecule: ribosomal RNA, 496 nt
Filed under: uncultured bacterium
Lineage: Bacteria
Description: partial 16S ribosomal RNA
Rfam family: Bacterial small subunit ribosomal RNA
Source: RNAcentral